This 1894-nucleotide long non-coding RNA is filed under the name Setaria italica (foxtail millet). RNAcentral describes it as "long non-coding RNA (SITA_LNC005771)". The record is from RNAcentral. Lineage: Eukaryota; Viridiplantae; Streptophyta; Magnoliopsida; Poales; Poaceae.
CAGCUCACUAUUCAAAUUCGGGAAUAUGAAUAGUGCCCGAGCACUCACCGGGAGUGGAUGGAGCACCUAUGGGUGGCGGCACUAUUCAGCCACUAUUCACUCACUAUUACGCACUAUUGAGCUACUAUUCGGAGUCGCAUUCAGGGGAUACGAGCACGCGCGGGUGCGUGAUUAGGUAUAUUCCUUAAUUAAGUCUAUUCUCAGGAUCUUUACGGGUUGGCGAGACCGAAGAUUCAGCCGAACGUGCUGCUAUGCUUGUGACAGUCCUACUCGGUACUCACCGCAUGCCUCGCUGGCUCGCUUCAGAACCAGGCCAGCCCGGCCUGCAGCCUCACCGUCCCCAGCCACGCUCACACAGGACUCAGGCUCUACCGUCUCCCCACGUAGUUCCACCCGAAGGGAACACUUCUCUGCGCACACAGGGUUCUCCUCAAACGCCGCUACCAGGGCUAACACGAGAACGACACACGCAGAGGUUUCUCCUCUAGGGUCCCUAGCGUAGAGACAUCGCCCCAUAAGAACGAGCUUAAAGGAAGGCAGGGAUGCUACCAGGACAGCUUAAUCCAUUUCCACGGGUCAAGCUUACAUGUGGCUUUCCCUUUCGGGAAACCCCAAGCACUUAGCACAAACCUUGAUUACCUUACAAACCGAGGGACGAGCUCCAACGGCCUCCCUUUAUUCUAGUGGUGGUAGUACAGAGGUGGAGUAAUACAGCGGUAGAUUCUAAAAUAUGGUGGCUAAUUCUAUCUCUCUCAGAGAGUGGUGGUGGAUGUCUUCAUGAGUGGAGUGUGGGUGGAGGUCUUCGCUGGUGGAGUGUGUCUUCGUGAUUCUUGGUGAUGCUCUGGUUGUGAUCUGGUUGAUGUCGUAGUGUGGUUAAGGCUUCUGGUUCCUUCAACUAUUCUCCUCUUCUGUUGCCUGGACACUUGGACGGCUCCCCGCUCCUCAAUAAUUGUCCUGGGUACAGUAGAGUUGUUGUUUAUUCUUUUUGCCUUGUCCUCUAUCGCGCACUGUCUCCUCAUGACGAUCAAGGGUGAGGGAACGAGCGACUCCGAAAAAUUUCGGAAUUCAAAUUUCGAGUUACUAUUCAGAGCACUAUUCAAAUUCGACGAACACUAUUCAAAUUCGCGGCACUAUUUAAAUUCAGCUCACUAUUCAAAUUCGGGAAUAUGAAUAGUGCCCGAGCACUCACCGGGAGUGGGUGGAGCACCUAUGGGUGGCGGCACUAUUCAGUCACUAUUCACUCACUAUUGCGCACUAUUGAGCUACUAUUCGGGGUCGCUUUCAGGGAUACGAGCAUGCGCGGGUGCGUGAUUAGGUAUAUUCCUUAAUUAAGCCUAUUCUCAGGAUCUUUGCGGGUUGGCGAGACCGAAGAUUCAGCCGGUCGUGCUGCUAUGCUUGUGACAGUCCUACUCGGUACUCAACGCAUGCCUGGCCCUGAUACCAGUAUUGGACGAGGGGAUAAUACGAUCAAGGGUGAGGGAACGAGCGACUCCGAAAAAUUUCGGAAUUCAAAUUUCGAGUUACUAUUCACAGCACUAUUCAAAUUCGACGAACACUAUUCAAAUUCGCGGCACUAUUUAAAUUCAGCUCACUAUUCAAAUUCGGGAAUAUGAAUAGUGCCCGAGCACUCACCGGGAGUGGGUGGAGCACCUAUGGGUGGCGGCACUAUUCAGCCACUAUUCACUCACUAUUGCGCACUAUUGAGCUACUAUUCGGGGUCGCUUUCAGGGGAUACGAGCACGCGCGGGUGCGUGAUUAGGUGUAUUCCUUAAUUAAGCCUAUUCUCAGGAUCUUUGCGGGUUGGCGAGACCGAAGAUUCAGCCGGACGUGCUGCUAUGCUUGUGACAGUCCUACUCGGUACUUACCGCAUGCCUCGCUGGCUCGCUUCAGAACC